GCCUUCGUGGUGUAGUGGUCAGCACGCUCGACGCGUAUUCGAGAGGUCCAUGGUUCGAGUCCCGGCGAGGGCG
Molecule: transfer RNA, 73 nt
Filed under: Stegodyphus mimosarum
Lineage: Eukaryota; Metazoa; Arthropoda; Arachnida; Araneae; Eresidae
Description: tRNA-Thr for anticodon CGU
Rfam family: tRNA
About the family: Transfer RNA (tRNA) molecules are approximately 80 nucleotides in length.
Source: Rfam by way of RNAcentral